UACGUAGGUGGCGAGCGUUAUCCGGAAUUAUUGGGCGUAAAGAGCGCGCAGGUGGUUGAUUAAGUCUGAUGUGAAAGCCCACGGCUUAACCGUGGAGGGUCAUUGGAAACUGGUCAACGUGAGUGCGGAAGAGGUAAGUGGAAUUCCCAGUGUAGCGGUGAAAUGCGUAGAGAUUGGGAGGAACACCAGUGGCGAAGGCGACUUACUGGGCCAUAACUGACGUUGAUGCGCGAAAGCGUGGGGAGCAAACAGGAUUAGAUACCCUGGUAGU
This 271-nucleotide ribosomal RNA is filed under the name uncultured prokaryote. RNAcentral's name for it is "partial 16S ribosomal RNA". It matches the Rfam family "Bacterial small subunit ribosomal RNA", at positions 524 to 794 of the family's 1533-position model. The record is from RNAcentral.